UACGAAGGGGGCUAGCGUUGUUCGGAAUUACUGGGCGUAAAGCGCACGUAGGCGGAUUUGUAAGUCAGGGGUGAAAUCCCGGGGCUCAACCUCGGAACUGCCUUUGAUACUGCAAAUCUCGAGUCCGGAAGAGGUGAGUGGAAUUCCCAGUGUAGAGGUGAAAUUCGUAGAUAUUAGGAAGAACACCAGUGGCGAAGGCGGCUCACUGGUCCGGUACUGACGCUGAGGUGCGAAAGCGUGGGGAGCAAACAGG
Molecule: ribosomal RNA, 253 nt
Filed under: uncultured bacterium
Lineage: Bacteria
Description: partial 16S ribosomal RNA
Rfam family: Bacterial small subunit ribosomal RNA
Source: RNAcentral